UAAUUUUAUAGAUAUUCUAUUGUACAAAGUUUUUCUUUGUUCAAAUUUGAGGUUAAACAUAUGAAUGCUCAUUUAAACAACUACGAAAGUCCUGACCCUAAUA
Cotesia glomerata is the source of this 103-nucleotide long non-coding RNA. RefSeq lists it as uncharacterized. NCBI's taxonomy places the organism in Eukaryota, Metazoa, Arthropoda, Insecta, Hymenoptera, Braconidae. The transcript is spliced from 3 exons. The record is from RefSeq and is a predicted model, not a curated record.